Non-coding RNA from Nicotiana tabacum (common tobacco), 1177 nucleotides. NCBI's taxonomy places the organism in Eukaryota, Viridiplantae, Streptophyta, Magnoliopsida, Solanales, Solanaceae. The record is from RefSeq and is a predicted model, not a curated record.
AUAAAGUUUUGGGUAGUUGUUUCUUAUUUCAAUGUCAUUCUUCUUUUUCUGUUUACUUUCCUUUUAAUUUCCACCAUUAUUAGGGUUGUCACAAGAAACUUCAAGUUUGGACAUUAAUGGCUGAUUUAAGCACUCCCAAGAGGGUUACACGAGGUUCUGUAGCAACUAUUGAAGCCGAGAGGCGAACCAAACUACCCAAUGACCCUAUGAAACAAGUUGAAAUGUUUCUAAUGUUUCGAUACACAACAUAAACGUGGAAAUAGACGAAAAAUUAGCACUAUUGCAUCCGGCAGCAAGGGAAAAGAGGUCGCUAAAGGAAGUAGCUCGAAAACACGGAAAGAGAAGGAAAUAAAAUUCUUUGUUAAACAACCUCCUACUUCAUCACCGCAAAUAUGUUCCUACACUAACACUGACAUAAUUUCUUACCUCAAAGAAAAGCUUAGUGCACAACAAUAUGAACUCUUUGGUCAAACAUGUUUUGGUAUAUUCCUCGGUAUAAAGCAUUGUGAGGUCUAAGUACAAUUGUUCAGGUGCUUCAUGGUGUGAGAGUUGGAAAAUGUUCUCUUGACGCAUUUAUCAUACAUGUAAAUGGUACAACAUUGUGUUUUUCACUCAGGGAGUUUGCGGUAAUUAUCAGACUAAAUUGUGUUGGUGAUGGAGAAGAUUUUAUGUUUAAUACAAAGAAGCCUAAUAGGCUAGUAGAGACAUGCUUUGACGGAGAAAAAAAUGUGAAGAAGUCUGCUUUAAUUGCUUUAUUGACAAGAAUUGGGACUUUGAUAACGAUGAUGAUGCUGUGAAAAUAGUACUGUUGAAUUUCAUACAUACAUUCAUAUUCUCCAAUGAAAAGAAUUGCACAACCAUUCCAAGGCAACAUUUUGACUUGGUCGAGAGAGUGAGAUAUUGUGAUUACCCAUUGGGUAAGGAGGCAUUCACUGCCCUUGUUAGAUCUAUUAGCCGGAAGAUAGAUUCCCAGAAGAAGUAUUACAUGAUUUUUGGCAUGCCUCUUGCUAUGUAAGUAUGGUUCUACUAGUAUUGUUCAAAAGUUGACCCCAAAAUCUUAAUCCGAAUUAAUAACCAUAUUCCCAGAAUACUCAAUUGAAAGUCCACUAACAACCGGUCUCUUUUUGCUUAUUUGAUAAACGGCAUGUUCAACGACGAGGAAAACCUGGUAAUUUGU